RNAcentral lists this ribosomal RNA (480 nucleotides) under uncultured bacterium. Its description in RNAcentral is "partial 16S ribosomal RNA". It matches the Rfam family "Bacterial small subunit ribosomal RNA", at positions 28 to 507 of the family's 1533-position model. The record is from RNAcentral.
GACGAACGCUGGCGGCGUGCUUAACACAUGCAAGUCGAACGAUGAAGAAAAGAAUCGAAGCUUCGGCAGAAAUUCAUUUCGGAUUAGUGGCAGACGGGUGAGUAACGCGUGAGCAACCUACCUCUCACAAAGGGAUAGCCUCGGGAAACCGGGAUCAAUACCAUAUAACAUUGCGACGAAGCAUUUCGAUGCAAUCACAGCUAUGGCGGUAAGAGAUGGGCUCGCGUCCCAUUAACCGGAUGGUGAGGUAACGGCUCACCAUAGUGACGAUGGGUAACCGGCCAGAGAGGGUGAGCCGUCACACUGGAACUGGGACGCGGUCCAGACUCCUACGGGAGGCAGCGGUGGGGGAUGUUGCCCAGUGGAGGGUACUCUGAUGCAGCGACGCCGCGUGAGUGCUGAAGGAAUUCGUUUCGUAAAUCUCUGUUAUAUGGGAAGAAAAGGACUGUACCAUAGGAGGAAGCACCGGCUAACUACGUG